GGUAUUUUGACCGUGCAAAGGUAGCAUAAUCAUUAGUUUUUUAAUUGAAAGCUGGAAUGAAAGGUUGGAUGAGAAAUAAGCUGUCUCUGUUUAAUUUUAUUAGAAUUUUAUUUUUAAGUAAAAAAGCUUAAAUUUUAAUAGAAGACGAGAAGACCCUAUAGAGUUUUAUUUAUUUAUAAAAUAAGAUUAAUGGUAUUAAUUAUUUUUAUUUUAUAGAUAAAUUUAAUUGGGGUGAUUGAAAAAUUUAAUAAACUUUUUUUAUAUAUAUAUACAUUGAUAUAUGAUUAAUUGAUCCUUAAUUUAAGAUUAAAAGAUAAAAUUACCUUAGGGAUAACAGCGUAAUUUUUUUUGAGAGUUCAAAUCGAAAAAAAAGAUUGCGACCUCGAUGUUGGAUUAAAAUAAAAUUUUGGUGUAGAAGCUAAAA
Molecule: ribosomal RNA, 424 nt
Filed under: Laparocerus aeneotinctus
Lineage: Eukaryota; Metazoa; Arthropoda; Insecta; Coleoptera; Curculionidae
Description: partial 16S ribosomal RNA
Source: RNAcentral